UACGAAGGGGGCUAGCGUUGUUCGGAAUCACUGGGCGUAAAGCGCACGUAGGCGGAUUUUUAAGUCAGGGGUGAAAUCCCGAGGCUCAACCUCGGAACUGCCUUUGAUACUGGAGAUCUUGAGUCCGGAAGAGGUAAGUGGAACUGCGAGUGUAGAGGUGAAAUUCGUAGAUAUUCGCAAGAACACCAGUGGCGAAGGCGGCUCACUGGCCCGAUACUGACGCUGAGGCACGAAAGCGUGGGGAGCAAACAGG
RNAcentral lists this ribosomal RNA (253 nucleotides) under uncultured bacterium. RNAcentral's name for it is "partial 16S ribosomal RNA". It matches the Rfam family "Bacterial small subunit ribosomal RNA", at positions 524 to 776 of the family's 1533-position model. The record is from RNAcentral.